Molecule: ribosomal RNA, 504 nt
Filed under: uncultured bacterium
Lineage: Bacteria
Description: partial 16S ribosomal RNA
Rfam family: Bacterial small subunit ribosomal RNA
Source: RNAcentral
AUUGAACGCUGGCGGCAGGCCUAACACAUGCAAUUCGAACGGUAGCACAGAGAGCUCGCUCUCGUGUGACGAGUGGCGGACGGGUGAGUAACGUCUGGGAAACUGUCCGAUGGAGGGGGAUAACUACUGGAAACGGUAGCUAAUACCGCAUAACGUCACAAGACCAAAGUGGGGGACCUUCGGGCCGCACACCAUCGGAUGUGCCCAGAUGGGAUUAGCUAGUAGGUGGGGUAAUGGCUCACCUAGGCGACGAUCCCUAGCUGGUCUGAGAGGAUGACCAGCCACACUGGAACUGAGACACGGUCCAGACUCCUACGGGAGGCAGCAGUGGGGAAUAUUGCACAAUGGGCGCAAGCCUGAUGCAGCCAUGCCGCGUGUAUGAAGAAGGCCUUCGGGUUGUAAAGUACUUUCAGCGGGGAGGAAGGCGGUGAAGUUAAUAGCUUCACCGAUUGACGUUACCCGCAGAAGAAGCACCGGCUAACUCCGUGCCAGCCGCCGCAGUAA